This 6166-nucleotide long non-coding RNA is filed under the name Homo sapiens (human). RNAcentral's name for it is "HSALNT0353180". Lineage: Eukaryota; Metazoa; Chordata; Mammalia; Primates; Hominidae. The record is from RNAcentral.
ACCAAUUCCGGACACAAUCUCAGCACUGUGGGAGACUGAGGCACCUGCCAAACCUGCACAGAUUCCUACAGCAGCCAGUUCGCUCUGUCUCGAGGCUUCAGAGGAACACGAACUUCUCUGAUGGAAGAGCCUUGUUCUAGAAGGGAGUGAAGCCUAGGUCUUUCCUGAGCACACAGAAGAUCAAGACCACACUCACUGACUUCUCAUAGUCAAGCAAUUUUGGCCAAUUAAAUGUCAGUUGGAAACUCCUGUGUCAGCUUCUCUGUGGCGGUGAGAAGUCCCUGUGUGACAUCCCAACUCUCCCCUCACCUGCGUUGGCAACCAAGAAAGCCUUGUGUUGGAGGUGGGGCCACAAGUUUAAAGCUAAGUUACCACCUCGAGGGCACAUUCCUGGAGAGCUUCCCAGGCCCACAGUGGCACGUGUAUGAGUGACAGAUCCACUUCUUUAUUACCUUUUUGAAGAACAGGAACCUUUGUCUGGAAAUUCCACAAGUAUGCCUUUUGCAAGAUUAAAAGUGCCACAAAGAACAAAAAUGAGCCCAGGACCAGAUGCAUGUUAAAAGCCAUCAGACACGUUAAGUUUCAUCUCCAUUGACCUGCAGAAGGAGUCUCUCACCACAGCCACCACAUCUAUGCAUGUGCUGAGUCACAUGUGAAGCCAGCACAUCUCAGAGUCUCACCGAAAGCUCAUGGUGAGACAAAGAGACUAGAAGGGGUAGAGUCAGCUAACUUCUCUCCUCCCACCACUGAUGAGGUUUUGGUGAAUUCUCUUCCCUUGCUCACUUGCAGAUUCAGCAGAGUUGUCUAUAGUGGCUUAAUUGGAAUUGCUGGACAAGAACAUUGAUUCUGCUUCACUCAGGUAAAGAUGAAAGUAACUGCAACAAUGGAUAUUGCAUUUGAAGGUCAUUGAGUUGUAGUCAGGCAAGGGGAGCAGAUAUUAAAACAUACACGCACAAAAUAAUGGGAUUUUUAUUUAGCAUCUCGCAAGUCUUGAGUAACAUAGUAUUAAUUGACCUUGAGAUUUCAUUCUUUUGUGACUCAUUGCAUUUGCUUUUGUGUUUCAGAUUAAUAUAGAAUAUUUUAAAGAAAGAGUAAUACAGCCAAUUUUAAUCUCUGGGAAGUUUAUGCAAGACAUAAUUUAUUUGUAAACUUUAUAAUAAUAUGUGAAUUAAAGACCCUUGUUAGUUUGGUAUGAAUCUGACAUAAGGGCUAAAAUCACUUUUUCAUUAGCCUUCUCCUGAUCUCAGGUUUACACCUAAGAGAUUCUUCACUCCAAAGUCUUCAUUUCCAAGCACAACCUGCUGGGUGCUGCGCUUUUCUGAGGUCUCCUCCCCAGCUCUGCAUCUAGCAGUGCUCAUGAUGCAAUGAUUUCCUGUCUGACUAUCCCAUUCCUAUCCUUUGCAAAGUUCACAUAGACCCAUUUGAGUACACUUUUAGUAGCAUACCAAGUUUAAGUGCCAAAGUUGUGUUUUAGUUCUUUCAUCCAGAAAGAAAACAUCAGCUGUUUCAAAUUUUAGAGUCCAGCUUGGGCAACAAGAGAAUUGUCAUGUCGUCGAUUGUGUAGUAAGACACAGUGAGUGUCCAGCAAUGUAAAAUCAGUCUAUAAAUGAGAAGAUUAAGACCAAAAGCAUCGGGUUACAAACAUCUCACUAAAGCCCAUUAGCAGGCAGAGAGCUCUCCGCGGAGCUAGAAAAUGAGACUUUUCCCUCCUUUCUGCCCCAUACAUUAGUGCUGAUCUCAGGAGCUCAUUUUUGCACCCUUUGUGGCAGACAACCAUAUAAUCAAAGGGUUCCCAUCACUAAAUCAUUUGAAAAGACAAGUAGAAAUUAGCUUUAGCUAAUUUAACUAGCCUUUGCCCCUCCUCCUGACCCUGAGGGUGAAGCACAUUUUAUCAUUCAUCCUCUGGGGGCUGGCUUAUGCUGGCUCCCUUUCCUUUGGCAGUGAUUUUAAGCAACCAAGUUCUUAUUACAAUUCUCAAAUUUAAAAUUAAGUUCUGAUCACAUCUUCUCAGGGCAUACCUAAGAGGCAGUGUUUAUCCCCAGCCAAAUCAAUUGUUUCCUCAAGUGACUCAUUCCUGAAAAUGUUAUUGUUUCUAAUAACCAGCUCAAAUAUGUAUUUUCAUUAAUCUUUUCUUUUACCUCCAUUUCACACGUGUUGCUGCAUGUCAGGCAGUUUCCACAAGGAUCUGCCAUGACAUCAUUGUGUGAGGUAUGAAAAAAAAAUUUUUUUUUUUCUAAUUUAAGAAUUACUUUUACUCAGAUGGUGGCUGGGCUGGGAAAUGUUCCCCAUUGCCCUGGGAGUUUUAGGCCAAGGCUUGUGUGUGUGUGUGUGUGUGUGUGUGUGUUGGAAGGGUCUCUCAUUGCCUAUUUCUGCUUAUAUAACACACACUGGUUUAGGUAGGUGGAGUCAGAAUGGGAAGAGGAAGUUCCCUAAGUGUUUCUUGCAUGCAAAGGUAAGUGGAGAAUGCCCAUCUGGGCACACAGGGCAAGGAUGCAGUGGAGUGACCUCUCCUUUCCCCUCCAACUCACAUGCUGGAGUUUAAAAACUGUAUCAGGAUGACAGAAACCAAGGGGUAAGACCACGGCUUCCUCUGGGGAUCUUCUAUAAACUGUAAGAACAAACACAGGUAUUUUGUAGUUCUUUAUCACAACGGGUCCUUUGCUGAUGAUUCUAGGUUUUAUGACUGCUGUUUUAUGUCCUACAAAUAGUAACAGGCAUUUCCCUUUGCCCUACACCACAGUAAGCCACUGGCCUAGACAAGAAGCAACUCUGCACUGCUUUUCAAACAUCAUCCUCCCUCUCGACCGCAGGGACUAUUUGGUUUCUAUUCUACUUCUGGCCUUUCAUAUUCCUGAUGGUGCAUUGGAUGAAACCCCGCAGCCAGGCGUGUGAACGUGGUUGAAAAGACCCAUGGAGGACCAGCAACGCUUCCCCACAGCGUGGGAUGGUCCCCUCCUGAGAUGGCCCACUGUCAGCGGGACUGACGCCAAGCACUGCAUCCUGUCUGCUUCUUGAACAGCCCCUUCAUUGUUUGUUCAGCUAUUCUGCUGCAUCUGCAGAUAGCCCUGCCUGAGAAACAGCCUCAAACCAGAAGGAGAGGAUGGCGGCAAGCCUUAGAGAAACAUGGAUGUUAUGUGGACUUCAUUGCCUCAGAGAAAAUUCCUUUUAGGGCUGAAGGCAGAGAAAGUCAGCAUUGAUUUCUGGCCUAAGCUCUUGGGAGUUUAGAGGGUUUGUCAAGGAGCCAAAAGAGGCAAAGGGACUUGAAGAUUUGGACGGCAUGUCUCGGAGAAGUAGCCCCACUCCUAGAGGAGAUGACAUUUGGCUUGGAGGAGAAAGAGGCCUCAAAGGUUUCACAUAUCUAAGUCCAAGGAACUUGAGCUCACAGUCAGACAUCAUAAAACACACAAGGAAAGAAGGCAUCAUGAAUAAAAGCAGGAACCAAUAUUAUUAGACACAACAGAUAAAAUGACCGUAAAGAAAAUUUGGGAAUGUGUAUUUCAGGGAAAAUGAAAAUGAUCCCAAUAAAGAUCGGAGAUGCAGGAAGGAAGGAAAACAUAGAAAUUGAGCCAGUUGGAGUGUGAGGCUUCAGAAUCGCCUUCCAACUCUCUGUGCACUGCACCAGCUGCUUCCCAUAGACUCCUGGUAAAAUAUAGAGCGGAAGGAAGAAGAGCCACUACCCAUAACAUCAGUGGCUGCUAACUAAGGAGUGUUUUGACAUGCUGGUACAGCCUAUCCUCAGCUUUCCAGAAGGUGGAAUCUUGUGAUAGUGGAAAGAAGUAGAAGAGAUGAAGUACCUAUGACUCCAGGAUUUGCCAGUGAAAGAAGUCAACAAUAUUUUAACUUUGAUCUUAACCAAAAGGCCAAGAAGUGAUGCUAAUAUUUUCAUAUACUACGACAGUUGCAGACACACGUCUAUCAUAGCUGGGUAGUAAUCCAGGCAACUCUGCCACAAGUCAUGGGCUCAGCCACCAGUCCACGAAGUCUCCAGUCACACAUAUUGCUUCGGACUAUUCUCUAUCCCCAGUUGUCAAUUAACUAAAAUAUUAAAUGAGAAGAAAACCUGAUGUCUGAGCUGAAUCCUAAUCAUGAAGAUGUUUUUCCACCAUUCCUGUCUGUGUUUUUCUACCAUUCCUGUCUGUGUUUUUCUACCAAAGUGUGCUCUUGAAGUUCUGCAUUUCCCAGGGUGUGGUGAAAGAAGAGAAAAAAAUGUCCAAGAUGACUUCAACGUUCUGACCUUGAGUGGCUUGAGUGAAUGGAGUUACAACUGUGCAGAAAGAUUCAGUAGAGAGUUUUGGAUUUAUGCACCAGUAAGGGGAAAACUGAACAGCUGCAGAGAGCUGUAACUUUUAUAGGAGAUUAAUCUAUAAGAGAAGACAGCAAACUACAGCCUGUGUGUCAAAUCCUACUUGCCACGUCCACUGAAAGCUAACUACACUGGAACACUCUCAUUUCUGCAAAGAAAAAUAUCAUAUCCCAGGAUGAAAAGGAGGAGGAAGAGGAAAGGCUAACUUAACAAGAAGCUCUUUGACAUUCUUGAAUUAGACACCCAACGUAGUCCACGCAGUACGGAGGAUGACUUCAGAAGUGCAAUUCUGAUAUGGACUUUGUCUCCCUAAGGCUUUCAGUUCCUCAUAUUUAGGAUAAAACAGAAGUUUAUGUAAAGCCAAGGGAGAGGGUCACCGGGAGAGGGAAGGAGGAACAGCAGAAGGAGAGGUCCACACAUGAAAAUACUUGGAAGCGCCCCAGGGCCUAUCAGAUGCAGGUCUUGGCGGAAAUUACCAAACAUACUUUAGACAGGCUGCUGUGUUGCUGAGUGUGGACUGGCCUCAGGGCCUGCUGAUCAAAGCAAAAGGAAGCAGUGAAAAAAACAUCACCAUGUCUUCUUAGAGUCUAAUCUGGGGGCAAGAGGCCAGCAUGCACAGUUGGUGCUGAUUUUCUUGGGCGGAUAGAGGAAAGGUGUAGGCGUGGCCAACAUUUGAGCAGCAUGUGGUUCCUCUCACACGCCAUGCUGUUUCCGGCCUCCUUGCAUUUUACUCAUGCCAUCCUCCUGGUCACUUCUUUGAGAUAUUAAGUGCAUUCUUUAGGACUCAGACUCAGCUCAAGGGUCAGUGCAUCCAUGAAGCCUUACCUGGAUCCCAGAGGGAGCUCUGUGCUCCUCCUUUGUCUCCUAUAGGACCCAGUACAUGCGUCCAGUAUUAUCCAUACACACUGAAAUGAUCUAGCAUGUGUCUUCCCAUAGGAUUUCAAAUUCUUAGAAUAUAGGAGUGAUGCCUUCUUCCUACUUAUAUUUCCAGUGUUAACAGUGCCUGUCAAUUGACUUGAAGAUAACUAAAAGUCUGGUUGUUAAGGGCUGCUUCCCACCUCCAAAUACUUCCCUGGAAGUCAUUGUAUGGGCACUGACAUUGGUAGGUCUCCACUGGCUUGUAGAUGCUUCUGAUUAUAAGGUAGUCUCAGAUGCCUUCAGAAAGUUCUAAGACUGUAUAAAACAUUUCCUUCACAACCAAUAACUGUGUAUUAUUGUUCGUGUAAUUCCAGAAGUUAUCCUUUUGAUAGAGAGCAAUUACUUUAUUGAUUGAGAGUUAGCUAAUUAUGUAAUAAAGGUAAAGAUUUGCAUAGAGAAGUGUAAGAGACAUGGAGAAGAUUCUUGGUGGGUGGUGAGGGCGGGUACAUUUACACCAGACCAAGACUGAUCUGGCUGUGGCGCUGGAGAUUAAACUGUUUAAAUAUGGGAUCCUAAGAAGACUUCUGUGCAUUCUAGACUUCAAGAGACAGAUUGCAUUUUUUUUUAGGAAAUGUAGAUAAAACCCUUUGACUGAAUGACUCUAGAAAAUAAUACUGAUUUGAGAGAGAAAGGAAAUUCUAAAACAAAAUCCUGACAGCAGAGGCAUGAAUGAUCCUCAUGAGGAAGAAAUGAGACUCUGCUUAACUACACUGUAGAUUUUGGUGUGGAAGAAGAUGGAAGGUGGGUAUAUAGCCAAAUUUUGAAUACAAUAGGGCAGCACAAAACUGUGACAACAGUGGCAGAAGGACUGAAGUACAGAAUGUGUGAAAGUUGUUGUGAAAUAAAUAGAGAGCAACAGAAAAGGACUAUUUGGGCUGGGCAAUGGUAAUCCCAGAACUUUGGGAGGCUGAGUCAGGUGGAUCACCUGAGGUCAGGAGCUCAAGA